GUGAUUCGGCGGUAUAUAUCCUAACAUUGUAACGAUAUAUAGAAGAUUAGCAUGGCCCCCGCUCAAGGAUGACACGCGAAAUCGUAAAGCUUUCCAUAUAUUU
RNAcentral lists this small nuclear RNA (103 nucleotides) under Schistosoma margrebowiei. Lineage: Eukaryota; Metazoa; Platyhelminthes; Trematoda; Strigeidida; Schistosomatidae. The record is from RNAcentral.